This 468-nucleotide ribosomal RNA is filed under the name uncultured bacterium. RNAcentral's name for it is "partial 16S ribosomal RNA". It matches the Rfam family "Bacterial small subunit ribosomal RNA", at positions 28 to 507 of the family's 1533-position model. The record is from RNAcentral.
GACGAACGCUGGCGGCGUGCUUAACACAUGCAAGUCGAACGGAAAGGCCCUGCUUUUGUGGGGUGCUCGAGUGGCGAAAGGGUGAGUAACACGUGAGUAACCUGCCCUUGACUUUGGGAUAACUUCAGGAAACUGGGGCUAAUACCGGAUAGGAGCUCCUGCUGCAUGGUGGGGGUUGGAAAGUUUCGGCGGUUGGGGAUGGAUGCGCGGCUUAUCAGCUUGUUGGUGGGGUAGUGGCUUACCAAGGCUUUGACGGAUCGCCGGCCUGGGAGGGUGACCGGCGACAAUGGGACUGAGAUACGGCCCAGACUCCUACGGGAGGCAGCAGGGGGGAAUAUUGCACAAUGGGCGGAAGCCUGAUGCAGCAACGCCGCGUGCGGGAUGACGGCCUUCGGGUUGUAAACCGCUUUCGCCUGUGACGAAGCGUGAGUGACGGUAAUGGGUAAAGAAGCACCGGCUAACUACGUG